CAUAGCUCAAGUACUAGUCCAAGAGCAGCUUCAAGCUGGUCAUAUUGAACAUACUUUAAGUCCUUGGAACACUCCAAUAUUCAUAAUUAAGAAAAAAAUCUGGAAGCUGGAGACUUUUACAAGAUCUUAGAGCAAUUAAUAAAGCCAUGAAAUUAAUGGGCACUUUACAGCCUGGACUUCCUUCUCCCAUGGCUAUUCCAAUUGAUUACUGUCUGACUGUUAUAGAUUUAAAAGAUAGUUUUUCACUAUACCUCUACAUCUAGCUGAUUGUAAGCAUUUUGCAUCAC
Molecule: non-coding RNA, 287 nt
Filed under: Marmota monax (woodchuck)
Lineage: Eukaryota; Metazoa; Chordata; Mammalia; Rodentia; Sciuridae
Source: RNAcentral